AAUCUUGAUGAAAAUCCUUUUGUUAAACCAUAUAAUCCCUAAGAGCAUGAUAUUUACCUUAGGAGAGUACAAUUCUCAAUCACAAGAAGCACAACCAAUUUUAACGUGACAUUCGUUCAAAAUUGCAUCCGAUAACUUUUCUAAGCAUCCUAAUGGUGAUCAAUCAUCAAGACAUAUAGAUAGUUUAAUUCAGUGAUUGAAAAUAUCAAAACAAGCAUGUAACAACACUUAAGCAAUUGAAAAAAUAAAUCUACGUAUUCAUGUU
This 265-nucleotide long non-coding RNA is filed under the name Malus domestica (apple). RNAcentral's name for it is "long non-coding RNA (MDOM_LNC020748)". The record is from RNAcentral. Lineage: Eukaryota; Viridiplantae; Streptophyta; Magnoliopsida; Rosales; Rosaceae.